GUGCUCACUUCCGCAGCACAUAUACUAAAAGUCAAACGAUACAGAGAAGAUUAGGAUGGCCCCUGCACGAGGAUGACACGCAAAUUUGUGAAGCAUUUUAUAUUUAA
Small nuclear RNA from Myotis daubentonii (Daubenton's bat), 107 nucleotides. The record is from RefSeq and is a predicted model, not a curated record. NCBI's taxonomy places the organism in Eukaryota, Metazoa, Chordata, Mammalia, Chiroptera, Vespertilionidae.